CAAAGAAUCGCUGUUUGCUCUAGAAUGUGAAAGUAAUCAUUGAUCAAAGCACGGCUGCAAGUCUGAACUCCAAACAGGUGCACCUGAAUUUCUACUGAAGGAUCCAAUCUGGGUCAGUCACCAGGACCCAAGCAGGCCUAUUGGCUAUCUAUGGACCUAGUAAAAGAACAUUAUAUUUGUGGUUUUGAAUGUGCUUUAAAAAAAAUCUUUACACAGAGUUCAGAUGGGAUGAAACUGUCUUAAUAGUGAUUAUCUCAAAAGGGACGUCAUUUCCUUAACAAUGGCCCAUUAGCUACAAGCUUUAUUGAAAGGGGUAUAUGUUGAAUUAUUGGUUCAUUAAUUAUAAAAUUAAGAUUUUUGGUUUACUGAAGGUAUUUGCUGUCAUAUGUCAUUUCUUGCAAGAAUUAUGAAUUCCAAGAAUUACUGAUGGUACUAAAACUUACAAGGCCCUAUGUAAGUAAAUGUCUAGUGCAGGUUUUGUAAGAUCAUACGUUGUAAUUUGUAAGUUUAUAAAGUGGGGGUGGUGAUGCAAAUUGAUAUUGGUCAAGAAACUGACAAUUCUGGUUCCAGUGAAGAAUUAUUUUAGUGUUUACUCUGAUCAAGUGUCACUGAAUUCAUUGAGCUUAUUCAAAAAUAAAUAUGAAUAAAUGUGCCUAUGAAUGCCUAUGAAUAUACAUGCAGAAAUCAUCCUGCAAAUCUGAUACAAAUCUGAUACAAACGAGGAAGCAAAUUUCAUAGAAUUCAGUACGAAAGGUGUAAAAAAAAGUUUAAGGGUGAAGUAUAAUAUGUGCAUAUAAUUAGUCAAAAAUGUCAUUCUUGUUUUAGUUGACUGUAAAUUCUGGUACAUAUGCUAAUAUUUUGUCCUUUUGUGCCAUCUUGUGGCUAAUAUAAACAAUGCACAUUUCAAUUUAGAAUGCACAAAAUUCUAUCAGAGGAAUGGAUGGAAUUUAUAAUUUUUAAAACACAAAUAUUUUAAAUUAGACUGCAAAGCAAGGAAGUAUGAACAUGACUUUUGAACCUUAAAGCUGAAUCAGAUUGAAAGCUCACCCAAUUCACAGUCUGUUUUGUGGUGAUCGCUAGGUGCCUCUUAACACUUAAGAGAAUCUUACAUACAGAAAUAGAACAACAAUGUAUUUCCUUGAUUGUUUUACUAACUGGAAUUCAAAAAGGACCCUCCAGUUGUUCUGGAGAUAAUUUAUACUAGCUAGUGGAACUGGUAUAUUACAAGAAUUUGGCUAAACGUCUUUGCAAGCAGCAGGUCAUCUGGUAGUUGGAGGAGUCCUUGGGGCAGGUAGGUCUGGUCCUGCACUAGGCCUCCCAGGAUCUACCCAACCCUGCUUAAAGACCUGCAUGGUCAUUUAACAAGCACAUAAGUGAGAACAGAGGUGGGAUUAAGUGAGAUGAACAUGUCGCUUCACUUAAUGACCUUCAUGAAGGGGAGCCUCCAUUAUGGUCAUGAGCCAAGGUCUACCUGUACUGAAUUGUUCAUUCUUUUUAUCCAAAAUAUUCUUAAAAUGUUCACCCUUCAUAAUUCAAAUGCAUCAUUUUGAGACAUCGUUGCCAUUGUUAUUGCUUUUUAAAUAAUAUUUUAUUGAAAUUUUAAAUACAAUAAUACAAGAUGAUACAAAUUAAAACUAAAGCUAGAUUAAAUAAAAGGUGAAAAAAAGAUUAAAUAGAAAAUACAAAAGAAAAAAUUCUAAGAAGCCAACUUCCCAUCCUCCUCAUAACAAAUAAAAACAAUUUCACUAUCUUUUCAACUUCCUCUUAGUUAACAAAUAUGUAGAGCUCUUCACCCUAUAACACAAGUCUUAGCUAUAGGCAAUUCCAGUAAAUGACUUCUUUUCCAAUCCAGACGUAAGCAAAAGAGGUCCAGAGCUCUAAAAUAAACACAUACAUUUAGCAAAUACAAACUUCACCAUUCUUUGUGUUGCUUCCUGUUCAUCAUACAAUUUCUUUUGUAGUCAAAUGUUUUUAAAAGCUGUUUAUCAUUUAAUGUGGUUUGGGGUCAAAUUUAUUUAUUAUUAAUAAAGCAAAAUAAAUAUC
Thamnophis elegans (Western terrestrial garter snake) is the source of this 2043-nucleotide long non-coding RNA. RefSeq lists it as uncharacterized. The transcript is spliced from 2 exons. The record is from RefSeq and is a predicted model, not a curated record. Lineage: Eukaryota; Metazoa; Chordata; Lepidosauria; Squamata; Natricidae.